Etheostoma spectabile (orangethroat darter) is the source of this 179-nucleotide long non-coding RNA. RefSeq lists it as uncharacterized. The record is from RefSeq and is a predicted model, not a curated record. NCBI's taxonomy places the organism in Eukaryota, Metazoa, Chordata, Actinopteri, Perciformes, Percidae. The transcript is spliced from 3 exons.
UGUUUUCUCCACAAGAAUGAAACAACACACUGUAUACAUUAGUAUCAAUAAGGUUGCCACAGUUCUGGGCUCGACCACCAUCUAUUACAGUUAUCAAAGACUAGAGAAAGGAUUUCAAUCAUUCUCUUUUUUGUCACACGUUGCAUGUCAGUCCAAUAUUUACUGUUAUAUCUACUGUU